This 497-nucleotide ribosomal RNA is filed under the name uncultured bacterium. RNAcentral's name for it is "partial 16S ribosomal RNA". It matches the Rfam family "Bacterial small subunit ribosomal RNA", at positions 28 to 507 of the family's 1533-position model. The record is from RNAcentral.
GAUGAACGCUGGCGGCGUGCCUAAUACAUGCAAGUCGAGCGAACAGACGAGGAGCUUGCUCCUCUGACGUUAGCGGCGGACGGGUGAGUAACACGUGGAUAACCUACCUAUAAGACUGGGAUAACUUCGGGAAACCGGAGCUAAUACCGGAUAAUAUAUUGAACCGCAUGGUUCAAUAGUGAAAGACGGUUUUGCUGUCACUAAUAGAUGGAUCCGCGCCGCAUUAGCUAGUUGGUAAGGUAACGGCUUACCAAGGCAACGAUGCGUAGCCGACGUGAGGGGGUGAUCGGCCACACUGGAACUGAGACACGGUCCAGGCUCCUACGGGAGGCAGCAGUAGGGAAUCUUCCGCAAUGGGCGAAAGCUUGACGGAGCAACGCUGCGUGAGUGAUGAAGGUCUUCGGAUCGUAAAACUCUGUUAUUAGGGAAGAACAAAUGUGUAAGUAACUAUGCACGUCUUGACGGUACCUAAUCAGAAAGCCACGGCUAACUACGUG